UGAAAGGAGGAGGUCAGCAUCAGGGU
RNAcentral lists this non-coding RNA (26 nucleotides) under Mus musculus (house mouse). The record is from RNAcentral. Lineage: Eukaryota; Metazoa; Chordata; Mammalia; Rodentia; Muridae.